AGUAGGGAAUUGUUCGCAAUGGGCGCAAGCCUGACGACGCAACGCCGCGUGGAGGAUGAAGACUUUCGGGUCGUAAACUCCUUUCGACCGAGAUGAAUACUCUCUGACCUAAUACGUUUGAGAGCUGACAGUAUCGAGGGAAGAAGCCCCGGCUAACUCCGUGCCAGCAGCCGCGGUAAUACNNNNNNNNCAAGCGUUGUUCGGAAUUACUGGGCGUAAAGGGUUCGUAGGUGGCUUUCUAAGUCAGACGUGAAAUCCCUCAGCUUAACUGGGGAACUGCGUCUGAGACUGGCGAGCUUGAGUGCAGGAGAGGAACGCGGAAUUCCAGGUGUAGCGGUGAAAUGCGUAGAUAUCUGGAGGAACACCGGUGGCGAAGGCGGCGUUCUGGACUGUUACUGACACUGAGGAACGAAAGCCAGGGGAGCAAACGGGAUUAGAUACCCCGGUAGUCCUGGCCCUAAACGAUGAAUGCUUGGUGUGGCGGGUAUCGAUCCCUGCCGUGCCGAAGUUAACGCGUUAAGCAUUCCGCCUGGGGAGUACGGUCGCAAGGCU
Molecule: ribosomal RNA, 552 nt
Filed under: uncultured bacterium
Lineage: Bacteria
Description: bacterial SSU rRNA
Rfam family: Bacterial small subunit ribosomal RNA
Source: RNAcentral